CCAUUAUCAUUUUUCUUAUAAAAUAGACAUAACACUAAUAACAUAUAAGUCUAACCUAUGUAAAACAUUAAUACUACAAAGAAUUCAAAAUGUCACUAUUCAGCUUAGAACUUACACUGAUUUAUAUAUUAAAUGCUAUAAUCCGUUAUUGUAAAACAAAUUUAUGCUUUACAAUUUCUACCGACAUUGCACGUUAGAUCAUUUAACAAGCAACUCCCUUGUGCUCCGCUAUCCUGAACACUUCUCUGGAAAACCC
Molecule: long non-coding RNA, 256 nt
Filed under: Vigna radiata
Lineage: Eukaryota; Viridiplantae; Streptophyta; Magnoliopsida; Fabales; Fabaceae
Description: long non-coding RNA (VRAD_LNC014666)
Source: RNAcentral